AUAUUUUUCUGCAAUCAUUCAAUGAAGAAGUGUCCAUAUAGCAUGUCCCUCCCUCAAGGAGUGUCAUUCUAGUUAGAAGGGACUUAGAAUUUCUAUCUUUUUUCUUGAGCGCGCUUUCUGGUUUAUAUCCCCAUUCUGUC
This is a long non-coding RNA of Bufo bufo (common toad), 140 nucleotides long. RefSeq lists it as uncharacterized. The record is from RefSeq and is a predicted model, not a curated record. The transcript is spliced from 3 exons. Lineage: Eukaryota; Metazoa; Chordata; Amphibia; Anura; Bufonidae.